GAGUUUGAUCGUGGCUCAGGAUGAACGCUAGCGGCAGGCUUAACACAUGCAAGUCGAGGGGCAGCGGGGAGGAAGCUUGCUUUCUCCGCCGGCGACCGGCGCACGGGUGAGUAACACGUAUGCAACCUGCCCUGUCAGGGGACAACCCGCCGAAAGGCGGGCUAAACCCGCGUACAUGCCACCGGGGCAUCCCGGAGGCAGGAAAGGCUUCGGCCGGACAGGGAUGGGCAUGCGGCGCAUUAGGCAGUAGGCGGGGUAACGCCCACCUAACCGACGAUGCGUAGGGGUUCUGAGAGGAAGGUCCCCCCACACUGGUACUGAGACACGGACCAGACUCCUACGGGAGGCAGCAGUGAGGAAUAUUGGCCAAUGGUCGGGAGACUGAACCAGCCAAGCCGCGUGAGGGAGGAAGGUACAGAGUAUCGUAAACCUCUUUUGUCAGGGAACAAAGACUGGGACGCGUCCCGGAUGAGUGUACCUGAAGAAAAAGCAUCGGCUAACUCCGUGCCAGCAGCCGCGGUAAU
RNAcentral lists this ribosomal RNA (524 nucleotides) under uncultured microorganism. RNAcentral's name for it is "bacterial SSU rRNA". It matches the Rfam family "Bacterial small subunit ribosomal RNA", at positions 9 to 524 of the family's 1533-position model. The record is from RNAcentral.